GACGAACGCUGGCGGCGUGCCUAAUACAUGCAAGUCGAACGCUCAUUCUUUCACCGGAGCUUGCUCCACCGAAAGAAAAAGAGUGGCGAACGGGUGAGUAACACGUGGGCAACCUGCCCAUCAGAAGGGGAUAACACUUGGAAACAGGUGCUAAUACCGUAUAACACUAUUUUCCGCAUGGAAGAAAGUUGAAAGGCGCUUUUGCGUCACUGAUGGAUGAACCCGCGGUGCAUUAGCUAGUUGGUGAGGAAACGGCUCACCAAGGCAACGAUGCAUAGCCGACCUGAGAGGUUGAUCGGCCACACUGGGACUGAGACACGGCCCAGACUCCUACGGGAGGCAGCAGUAGGGAAUCUUCGGCAAUGGACGAAAGUCUGACCGAGCAACGCCGCGUGAGUGAAGAAGGUUUUCGGAUCGUAAAACUCUGUUGUUAGAGAAGAACAAGGAUGAGAGUAGAACGUUCAUCCCUUGACGGUAUCUAACCAGAAAGCCACGGCUAACUACGUGCCAGCAGCCGCCGUAA
This 523-nucleotide ribosomal RNA is filed under the name uncultured bacterium. RNAcentral describes it as "partial 16S ribosomal RNA". It matches the Rfam family "Bacterial small subunit ribosomal RNA", at positions 28 to 523 of the family's 1533-position model. The record is from RNAcentral.